This 543-nucleotide ribosomal RNA is filed under the name uncultured beta proteobacterium. RNAcentral describes it as "bacterial SSU rRNA". It matches the Rfam family "Bacterial small subunit ribosomal RNA", at positions 86 to 618 of the family's 1533-position model. Lineage: Bacteria; Pseudomonadati; Pseudomonadota; Betaproteobacteria. The record is from RNAcentral.
UGCUGACGAGUGGCGAACGGGUGCCCUUUACAUCGGAACGUGCCCAGUAAUGGGGGAUAGCUCGGCGAAAGCCGGAUUAAUACCGCAUACGCCCUGAGGGGGAAAGUGGGGGACCGCAAGGCCUCACGUUAUUGGAGCGGCCGAUGGCUGAUUAGCUAGUUGGUAGGGUAAAGGCCUACCAAGGCGACGAUCAGUAGCUGGUCUGAGAGGACGAUCAGCCACACUGGGACUGAGACACGGCCCAGACUCCUACUGGAGGCAGCAGUGGGGAAUGUUGGACAAUGGGGGAAACCCUGAUCCACCAAUGCCGCGUGUGCGAAGAAGGCCUUCGGGUUGUAAAGCACUUUUGUCAGGGAAGAAAUCCUUUGGGCUAACACCCUAGGGGGAUGACGGUACCUGAAGAAUAAGCACCGGCUAACUACUGUGCCAGCAGCCGCGGUAAUACGUAGGGUGCAAGCGCUAAUCGGAAUUACUGGGCCGUAAAGCGUGCCGCAGGCCGUUGGCGUCAAAAACGGGAGGAAAUCCCCCGGGCCUUAACCUGGG